This 71-nucleotide transfer RNA is filed under the name Cordylochernes scorpioides. RNAcentral describes it as "tRNA-Gly". It matches the Rfam family "tRNA". Rfam says of the family: Transfer RNA (tRNA) molecules are approximately 80 nucleotides in length. Their secondary structure includes four short double-helical elements and three loops (D, anti-codon, and T loops). The record is from RNAcentral. Lineage: Eukaryota; Metazoa; Arthropoda; Arachnida; Pseudoscorpiones; Chernetidae.
GCAUCGGUGGCUUAGUGGUAGAAUGCUCUCCUGCCACGCGGGCGGCCCGGGUUCGAUUCCCGGCCGAUGCA